This 246-nucleotide ribosomal RNA is filed under the name uncultured bacterium. Its description in RNAcentral is "partial 16S ribosomal RNA". It matches the Rfam family "Bacterial small subunit ribosomal RNA", at positions 527 to 772 of the family's 1533-position model. The record is from RNAcentral.
AGAGGGUGCGAGCGUUAAUCGGAUUUACUGGGCGUAAAGCGUGCGUAGGCGGCUUUUUAAGUCGGAUGUGAAAUCCCUGAGCUUAACUUAGGAAUUGCAUCCGAUACUGGGAAGCUAGAGUAUGGGAGAGGAUGGUAGAAUUCCAGGUGUAGCGGUGAAAUGCGUAGAGAUCUGGAGGAAUACCGAUGGCGAAGGCAGCCAUCUGGCCUAAUACUGACGCUGAGGUACGAAAGCAUGGGGAGCAAA